UUUUUUUUUUUUUUUUUUUUUUUUUCUCAUUUCAUGAGGCACCCUAUACCAGCAGUAAAAUGUUUCUUAAAUCAGAGGAAAGAAUUGACCUUACAGUUUCCUUUUUUUUCUGAGAUGGAGUCUCACUCUGUCUCCCAGGCUGGAGUGCAGUGGUGCAAUCUCGGCUCACUGCAACCUCCGCCUCCCGGGUUCAAGCGAUUCUCCUACUUCAGCCUCCCAAGUAGCUGGGAUUACAUGUGUGUGCCACCACAGCCAGCUACUUUUUGUAUUCUUAGUAGAGACAGGGUUUCGCCAUGUUGGCUAUGCUGGUCUCAAACUCCCAACCUCAGGUGAUCCGCCAGUCUUGGCCUCCCAAAGUGCUGGCAUUACAGGUAUGAGCCACUGCGCCCGGCCAGUUACUUUUAAAACUUGAUCUAGAACGCUCUUGAUUUUGGAAUUAUAAUGCUUAAUAUUUUCCUCAAUUAUGACUGCCCAGAUUUAGCCAAGGGCAAUUAGAAGAGGAAAGACUGACUUCAUCUUGACCCCUGGGGCCAGAGCUACUAUAGCAAGGCCAACUUCAACCCGUAUGGAAGAUGUGGCUGCUGAGAGCUUCCUAUAGAGCCCCUGACAUAGGAUAAAGGGAAAAUAUGUCUGUUUUAAAUCAUACUAACAUUGUGAUAAAGUAAUAUUAUGUCCUUUGAAGGACCUAAAAUAGUGCUAAAUUGUAUCAUGACCAAGAAACAUUUGUUUAGCAUUUACUCUGUGCCAGGCACUAAACUAGGUAUGAAGGAUAUAAAACUAAAUAAGGUGUAAUGUUUGUCUUCAAAGAGUUUCUUUAUCCUGCAAGAAAUUAGAGAUGGCUAAAUUUAAAAAAAUUUUUAUUAAUGUAUUUUUAAUUUUUUUUUUAAUUCAUAAAAUCCAGAUCCUGCACAAGAUAGCUGGACUUCUCUAAGGAAUCAGAAUUACAAGGAAAACAUAUUGAUUUUAUCCCUUUGUUAGUGAAAAUAAUACAUUCAGAUUUGAAAUGGUCAAUUGUUCACAGUGAUUUUUGGCUGUUAUGAAUAAAGCUGUUAUGAACAUAUGUGUAAGUCAUUGCAUGGACAUAUAUUUUCAUUUCCCUUUGGCAAAUACCUUGGAAUGGGAAUUGUUAGAUCACGUAAUAUGUAUAUAUUUACAUUUAUGAGAAACUGCCAAACUUUCUGAAAUGGUUGUCCUGUUUUACACUCCUGCCUGUAAUGCAUGAGAAUUCUAGUUGAUUCAUAUGGACACCAACACUUAGUAUUAUUAGUCCUUUCACUUUUAAUCAUUCUAGUGGAUGUGCAGAGAUAUUUCAUUGUGGUUUUAAUUUGCAUUUCCAGGUAACUGUUGAUAAUGAGCAUCUUCUUAUGUGCUCAUUGGUCAUUCAAAUAGCUUAUUUUGUAAAGUGUCUUUUGCUCAUUUUGAAAUUGUAUUGUUUGACUUAUUGAGUUGUAGUGUUCUUUAUAUAUUUUGGAUACAAGUCCUUUGCCAUGUAUGUAAAUUGUAAAUAUUUUCUCCCAGCCUGUGCUUUACGUUUUCAUUUUUUCAGCAGUAUUUUUCAGUAAACAAGAGUUUAAAGUC
Molecule: long non-coding RNA, 1578 nt
Organism: Homo sapiens (human)
Lineage: Eukaryota; Metazoa; Chordata; Mammalia; Primates; Hominidae
Product: long intergenic non-protein coding RNA 1630
Source: Ensembl